UAUCUUCUAGAAAACAUUCCUGUUGGAGAAAUUAUUCCUAAAUGUGGCUCUCCUAAACAAAGUUAAUUUGGAUGUCAGUCACUGCUGUGCACUUUAUUGACAGAAUUGAGUGCCUUAGCUCAAGCUUUGCAGUGCUCAGCACCACAAGCCUGAAAGAUCUCUUGGAUUCCUGCCACUAAUGCUUAUGAAGCCUGGGACAGACUAGAAUCCUUUUUCUUCUUUUGCCUCUGCUGUAUUCCAUGAAGAUCUUUGAAUGUCUUUCUCCAGAGAAGCCAUCAAAAUUAAAAGACUGUCAUACUGUCCUGUAAGUGGAUGGAUAAGGAGAAAGACAGAAGGAAGAUUUUUUGUUUGGAUUUCUUAACAAGUAAAAGAAGAAUCCAACUACAGAAUCAACUAAUAGAUAUACUUUCAAAUUAUUUGGAGGAGUUCUGAUAAAGGUGAUACAUCAGAGCAAAAUAAAUGAUAAUAAUAAUAAUAAUAAAAGUUUGAUUGUUACUUGAAACUUCUGAAGGCUACUCAACAUGAGAAACAGGUGUCUGGUUGCAUAAAUACCACAUAGAAGCUAAAAAUUUUUGUGAGAAAUAAUGGAAUGAAAAAACGUGAUUCUCUUCUUCACUCACAAUACUGCACCACAUGAGCUCCCAAAUCCCAAAAUCCAACCAAUUUUUACUGUCACUGAUAUGAACUACCAAGUAAGAAAAUAAUGGAAAUCAAGAGUUACUCCCAAAUAAAUAUGAGGAAAUGCAUGAUGAUAAAUACAAUGUGGACUUAGUUUAAUCCACACAGAUAAGACCAUCAUUUCCCUCAUUUUCUUACACUCUUAUUUUUCAAGUUCCAUAUUCUUUAUUUUGCCUUCAAUUUCCUUCUGACAUUGAGUGAAUGAACAUUUAUGAAGAAUGUUUAGCUGUAUUUCAAGUUAAGCCUCAAUUUUUCAGAUCACACCAGUAUUCUCAUGUGAAACAUCCUUCAGAUACUUUUUUCUCCUAAAAAGAAGAAUGAGGCUUUGGCUCACAAACUAAAGCUGUGUUUUGAUUGUCCCUAGCUUCUUUUUUAAAAGAAGAUAAAAGCAGAAUAUGAACUGAGCAG
Gallus gallus (chicken) is the source of this 1086-nucleotide long non-coding RNA. The record is from Ensembl. NCBI's taxonomy places the organism in Eukaryota, Metazoa, Chordata, Aves, Galliformes, Phasianidae.